Molecule: non-coding RNA, 126 nt
Organism: Triticum aestivum (bread wheat)
Lineage: Eukaryota; Viridiplantae; Streptophyta; Magnoliopsida; Poales; Poaceae
Source: Rfam
CUCCUACUCCCUCCGUCCGAAAAAGCUUGUCUCGAUCUUACUCCUCAAAUAGAUGUAUCCAGCACUAACUUGGUGCUAGAUACAUUCAUUUAAGAGACACGUUUUUUCGAACGGCGGGAGUACUUU